This 451-nucleotide ribosomal RNA is filed under the name uncultured bacterium. RNAcentral's name for it is "partial 16S ribosomal RNA". It matches the Rfam family "Bacterial small subunit ribosomal RNA", at positions 328 to 795 of the family's 1533-position model. The record is from RNAcentral.
UUACCAGACUCCUACGGGAGGCAGCAGUGGGGGAUAUUGCACAAUGGGGGAAACCCUGAUGCAGCGACGCCGCGUGUGGGAAGACGGUCCUCUGGAUUGUAAACCACUGUCCCCAGGGACGAAGAUGACGGUACCUGAGUAAGAAGCCCCGGCUAACUACGUGCCAGCAGCCGCGGUAAUACGUAGGGGGCAAGCGUUAUCCGGAUUUACUGGGUGUAAAGGGAGCGUAGACGGCCAGACAAGUCUGAAGUGAAAAUCCAGCGCUUAACGCUGGAAGUGCUUUGGAAACUGCCGGGCUGGAGUGCAGGAGGGGCAGGCGGAAUUCCUAGUGUAGCGGUGAAAUGCGUAGAUAUUAGGAGGAACACCAGUGGCGAAGGCGGCCUGCUGGACUGCAACUGACGUUGAGGCUCGAAGGCGUGGGGAGCAAACAGGAUUAGAUACCCUAGUAGCG